Ictidomys tridecemlineatus (thirteen-lined ground squirrel) is the source of this 2518-nucleotide non-coding RNA. The record is from RefSeq and is a predicted model, not a curated record. Lineage: Eukaryota; Metazoa; Chordata; Mammalia; Rodentia; Sciuridae.
UCAAUGCCAUGGACCAUCUGCUAUGGUUUCAAUGUUUGUUUUCCCCCAAACUCAUCUGUUGAAAUUCUAACUUCAUGGUAAUGGUAUUUGGAAAUGGGGCCUUGAAGAUGUGCUUGGAUCCUGAAGGUAGAGAUUAUACGCUCUUAUAGAAGAAGCCCCAGAGAGCCCCUUCAUUCUUCCCACCAUGUGAGAACUCAUUAAAGAGAAAUCUGUAUAUCACUCAGGAAUUUGGUCCUCACCAGACAUCAAAUAUGUUGGCAUUUUUUUGUCUCAGACUUCUAGCAUCCAGAACCUGGAGAAAUAGAAGUGUGCUUAAGCCAUCCAGCCUAUAGUAUCUUGUUGGAGUCCCAAAUGGACUAGGGCUUCCCCAGGCUCCUGACCUUCCCCACACUCUGGCCCAGGGAUUCAGGCUUCUCCAACCCACACCUCGGCCUGUCUGCAUUCACAGAUAUUGCCAUGGAGUCAGGUCAGUAGCCUUUGUAGAUCAGCGUGGAAAACAGAUCUUUGUGAUUUGUUUCCUUACUAUUCAAAUAUUUCUUUUUAAAAGAGCAGAUUUGUGUUUUGUCUUUCAGCCUGAAACUAUUUAGUUAUCACAUUCAUGGGAAGAUGCUUUCUCCUGCUCAGUUAUGGUUGCCCUCCCAGUGGAAACUGUAGCCCUGCCCAUAGCCUAGAUGGAUGGACACAGAGGAAAUGGACCCUGCAGGUCCCUGUGGUGGGAAAGUGGGAGAAAUCCCCUUUUGUUGUUAAGUGAGACACAGUAGUACAACAACAUAAAACAGCAAAGGACUGAUCUUUUGAGCCUGAACUGCCCGCCUUGAAUUUAUUCAGUUUGCCCUUGAACCAAGGAGACUAGGGACAGAAGAACCUGAGCAUCUGGGGACCUAGUGAGGGACAGGCCCCUUUACCUACGUCCUGACUUGUAUAUCUCAUUGAAUGCUUUAGAUUUGAGGAUUCACAUAUCAUAGUGACAGAUUCUGGACAACACUUGCCUGGGGACCACUAGAUGCAGAAUCUAAGAGAACAGGGGAUUAGGUAAUUUGGCACCCUGAACAGGAUACACUGUGCAAAGUCCCAGGCCUCUAUUGCUGCCCUCAGUACUAGGAGAAAGUUGCAUAGGGCUUUGGACUCACUGCUGGGAGCCCCAGUUUUCUCAUUUGCCCAAUGAGGGAGUUUGUAAGGCAGCUCUAUGGUCAUACUGGCUCUCAGCAUCUCUAGUUAGUCAGAGAAGUGUCUCAACCACAGAAAGAAUUUUCAUAGAAACCUUGAUGCUUGUCCACUAGAGAACAGCAUCCACAUUCGUGACUAAAUAGUUUACCACACUUCAGUCAUGCUGAUUUUUAUGUGAAAUCUAGUAUCUCCAUCCCUGUUUCCCAAACCUCUCAAAAUGAAAUUUCUGAAAAUUUUGGAGAAAAUUCUUUCUUGUUUUCUGUGGAUACUUUAAAAACAUUUUCUUGCUAUGUAGGUAUGUAAUGAAAUAUCGCUGAGUUUGAAAUGAGAAAGAAAUUCUGCUGCAUUUGAAAACACAGAUCAACCUUGAAGACUGUGCUCAGUAAACAAUGCCAUUCACAGAAAGACAAAUGCUGCUUGACCUCACUUAUAUGUGAAUCCUAAACUGGUAGAAUUCAAAGCAGUAGAGAGUGGAGUGGUGGCCACCAGCUGCUGGAGUGGGCAGAAGGGAAUAAUGUCAGUGGGCUAAAACUUGGAGUUAUAAGAUAAAUAUGUUCCAGAGAACUAAUGCAUAGCACGAUGACUUCAGUUAAUAAUAGAGUAAGGUACACUUGAAAUUUGCUAGGGGAGUAAAUUUCAAGUGUUCUCAGCACAGAUGCAUACACAAAGGUAACUAUGUGAGGUGACAGAUGUAUUAAUUAACUCAAUUGUGAGAUAUAUAUAUAUAUAUAUAUAUACACACACACACACACACAUAUGUCACACUGUACAAUUUGAAUGUCUACAAAUUUAUUUGUUAAUCAUACCUCGAUAAAGCUAAAAAAUGAAAGCAAAUAAUAAUAAUAAUAAACAACUAAAAGUGAUGUCUUAGAAUACCAGUAGAAGAAUAUGAAGAGGUUUUGUGGAGGGGAAUGAGAAUCCUGAUGGAGUAGCCCCAAGGAAGUACAGCCAGAAGGUUUUGGUGAAACUCUAGCGAGGGAAUCUUGUUGUUCAUUUUUAACUAGGACUAAUUUCUCUGUUUCCCUCCUGUUUCUCUUGGAGCGAUUCUGCUGCAUCGGCCAGAGCUGUGGAGAUUCUGGGGGAGCUCCUGUAGGCAUCUAGUGUCAGGAAGACAUCAAAGGAGAGCCGUUACUGAGGAAGCAGCCAACAGAUGCUGCUUCACGCGCCCUUUGCCAAGAGUCUCAGAGCUGGGAGUCUCUGGGGCCAAUUUAAAAGCAAGUUCCUGAGGAAAGAAGCCGGAAAGUUCUCUGAAAACAGUAGUGGGAGCUAAUCUCUAAUAAAACAAAACUCGACCAUUCAUCUGGAAAGAUUUCAUACAUCAAAUACAAGUUAAAUAAAAAAGACAAUUUGA